Long non-coding RNA from Gossypium arboreum, 538 nucleotides. RefSeq lists it as uncharacterized. The record is from RefSeq and is a predicted model, not a curated record. The transcript has 2 exons. NCBI's taxonomy places the organism in Eukaryota, Viridiplantae, Streptophyta, Magnoliopsida, Malvales, Malvaceae.
CGACGCCGUUUUAAACACCCUUAAACCCUCAUUUUGGCUCCUUUUCUCCUAUUUUUUUAACACAGCCGACCUCUUAAUUUUUUUUAAACAAAAAACCCCUGAAAUCAGUCGGCUAGGGUUCCAUUAGCACGCAGCCGCCAAACCACCAUUGUUUAGUGACCAACAACACCCAAACAACGCACCGAUUAUGCCAUUGAAGGUGCAUGACCACACCCUAAAGGAUUUAGUUCCAUUGACGUGGAUGUACGGAGGUGCACGGAGGCAGUCGUGCGUGAGAAUCCCUCGUGGGAAGCUGACCCUCUAGUUUAUUUCAGAAGUUUCUGGCAUUUUCAGGCUGCUGAGAUUCUUUUUGGGUGUAUUGGGCCUCGUGUUUGGGCUAUUGGAAUUGGGUUUGAGGGUUUAUUCAAUUGGGUCAUGGGUUAUUUUAGUUUAAUGGACUUUUAUUGUAUUGUUUUUUAUUUUAGUUUUGGGUUUUGUAAAUGGACUUUGGCCCUAUAAAUAAUUUGGUCAAUUAUUUAUUUUUGUUUGGUUUUAAAAA